AACGAACGCUGGCGGCAUGCCUAACACAUGCAAGUCGAACGGGAUCCUGGCUUCGGUCAGGUGAGAGUGGCGGACGGGUGAGUAACGCGUGGGAACCUGCCCAGUGGUGGGGGAUAACUGCGGGAAACUGCAGCUAAUACCGCAUGAGCCCGAGAGGGGAAAGAUUUAUCGCCAUUGGAGGGGCCCGCGUUCGAUUAGGUAGUUGGUGAGGUAACGGCUCACCAAGCCGACGAUCGAUAGCUGGUCUGAGAGGAUGAUCAGCCACACUGGGACUGAGAUACGGCCCAGACACCUACGGGAGGCAGCAGUGGGGAAUAUUGGACAAUAGGGGGCGGAACCCUACGAUCCACGCAAUAGCCG
RNAcentral lists this ribosomal RNA (360 nucleotides) under uncultured bacterium. RNAcentral's name for it is "bacterial SSU rRNA". It matches the Rfam family "Bacterial small subunit ribosomal RNA", at positions 29 to 399 of the family's 1533-position model. The record is from RNAcentral.